UCCCGGUUUCGCCGGGCAGUCGCGUCAGGUACGUGCAACUGACACCAGGGGUUGCGCUCGUUGCGGGACUUAACCCAACAUCUCACGACACGGGCUGACGACAACCAUGCAGCACCUGUGCUGGCUCCCGAAGGUCGGUCAGGUUUCCCCUCCCUACCACCAGCAUGUCAAACCCAGGUAAGGUUCUUCGCGUAGCAUCGAAUUAAACCACACGCUCCGCUGCUUGUGCGGGCCCCCGUCAAUUCUUUUGAGUUUUAGCCUUGCGGCCGUACUCCCCAGGCGGGAUACUUAACGCGUUAACUUCGGCACAGAGGGAUUCGACUCCCCCCACACCCAGUAUCCAUCGUUUACGGCGUGGACUAC
This 363-nucleotide unclassified non-coding RNA is filed under the name uncultured bacterium. RNAcentral's name for it is "contains 16S-23S intergenic spacer region". The record is from RNAcentral.